AGCGAACGCUGGCGGCGUGCUUAACACAUGCAAGUCGAGCGAAGGUGUUUCAAGGGUAACCUUGAGAUACACUUAGCGGCGGACGGGUGAGUAAUACGUGGAUAACUUACCUCUAGGCCUGGGAUAACCCCGGGAACUGGGGCUAAUACCUGAUAAGACCACAUUGUCUACGGACAAAGGGGUAAAAGGUGGCUGUGCAAACAGCUAUCGCCAAAAGAUAGGUUCACGUCCCAUCAGGCAGUGGUGAGGUAAUGGCUCACCAAACCAAAGACGGGUAGCCGGCCUUGGCGGGUGAACGGCCACACGGGGACUGAGACACGGCCCCGACUCCUACGGGAGGCAGCAGUGGGGAAUAUUGGGCAAUGGGCGCAAGCCUGACCCAGCGACGUCGCGUUGGGGAAGAAGGCCUCGG
This 412-nucleotide ribosomal RNA is filed under the name uncultured bacterium. Its description in RNAcentral is "bacterial SSU rRNA". It matches the Rfam family "Bacterial small subunit ribosomal RNA", at positions 29 to 420 of the family's 1533-position model. The record is from RNAcentral.